UACGAAGGGGGCUAGCGUUGUUCGGAAUCACUGGGCGUAAAGGGCGCGUAGGCGGCUUGAUAAGUCGGGGGUGAAAGCCUGUGGCUCAACCACAGAAUUGCCUUCGAUACUGUCGGGCUUGAGACCGGAAGAGGUUAGUGGAACUGCGAGUGUAGAGGUGAAAUUCGUAGAUAUUCGCAAGAACACCAGUGGCGAAGGCGGCUCACUGGCCCGGUACUGACGCUGAGGUGCGAAAGCGUGGGGAGCAAACAGG
This 253-nucleotide ribosomal RNA is filed under the name uncultured bacterium. RNAcentral's name for it is "partial 16S ribosomal RNA". It matches the Rfam family "Bacterial small subunit ribosomal RNA", at positions 524 to 776 of the family's 1533-position model. The record is from RNAcentral.